AUUGAACGCUGGCGGCAGGCCUAACACAUGCAAGUCGAACGAGUGGCGGACGGGUGAGUAAUGUCUGGGAAACUGCCUGAUGGAGGGGGAUAACUACUGGAAACGGUAGCUAAUACCGCAUACCAUCGGAUGUGCCCAGAUGGGUUUAGCUAGUAGGUGGGGUAACGGCUCACCUAGGCGACGAUCCCUAGCUGGUCUGAGAGGAUGACCGGCCACACUGGAACUGUGACACGGUCCAGACUCCUACGGGAGGCAGCGGUGGGGAAUAUUGCACAAUGGGCGAAAGCCUGAUGCGGCCAUGCCGCGUAUAUGAAGAAGGCCUUCGGGUUGUAAAGUACUUUCAGCGGGGAGGCGUUACCCACCGAGAAAGCACCGGCUAACUCCGUGCCAGCAGCCGCGGUAAUAC
This 406-nucleotide ribosomal RNA is filed under the name uncultured bacterium. RNAcentral describes it as "partial 16S ribosomal RNA". It matches the Rfam family "Bacterial small subunit ribosomal RNA", at positions 30 to 526 of the family's 1533-position model. The record is from RNAcentral.